This 558-nucleotide ribosomal RNA is filed under the name Wetmorella nigropinnata. RNAcentral's name for it is "partial 16S ribosomal RNA". It matches the Rfam family "Bacterial large subunit ribosomal RNA", at positions 1846 to 2607 of the family's 2925-position model. Lineage: Eukaryota; Metazoa; Chordata; Actinopteri; Labriformes; Labridae. The record is from RNAcentral.
UAGAGGUUUGCCUGCCGGUGACAAAAAGUUUAACGGCCGCGGUAUUUUGACCGUGCGAAGGUAGCGCAAUCACUUGUCUUUUAAAUGGAGACCCGUAUGAAUGGCACGACGAGGGCUUAACUGUCUCCUCUUUUAAGUCAAUGAAAUUGAUCCCUCCGUGCAGAAGCGGAGAUAUCUCCAUAAGACGAGAAGACCCUAUGGAGCUUUAGACACUAAAGCAGACCACGUAAAUACCCACAAAACAACGAAUUAAACACAAUGUCACCUGCCCUAUUGUCUUCGGUUGGGGCGACCACGGGGAAACACACAACCCCCAUGUGGAAUGGGCACACAUUCCCUAAACCAAGAGCACCAGCUCUAAGGAACAGACCUUCUGACCUAAAGAUCCGGCUUAAACCGAUCAACGGACCAAGUUACCCUAGGGAUAACAGCGCAAUCCCCUUCUAGAGCCCAUAUCGACAAGGGGGUUUACGACCUCGAUGUUGGAUCAGGACAUCCUAAUGGUGCAGCCGCUAUUAAGGGUUCGUUUGUUCAACGAUUAAAGUCCUACGUGAUCUG